GAUCUCCUAGCCAUUCAAAAUCUUGAGGUGUAUGUUGGCUGUAGCAUAUUCAUUGUAGGAACUAGGUCGCACCAAGAUGGGAUCUAUCAACCUCGGUAAAUGAGAGGAGUAGUCCUAUGAUGAUUGAAAGAUUGAGUUCUUAAGCCCAUGGCCAUGGCAGAGUGAAAUAAUGAAAAAGAAUUUUCCAUUAGAGUUUCACAUCGGACU
RNAcentral lists this long non-coding RNA (207 nucleotides) under Elaeis guineensis (African oil palm). Its description in RNAcentral is "long non-coding RNA (EGUI_LNC046629)". Lineage: Eukaryota; Viridiplantae; Streptophyta; Magnoliopsida; Arecales; Arecaceae. The record is from RNAcentral.